Molecule: ribosomal RNA, 519 nt
Filed under: uncultured eukaryote
Lineage: Eukaryota
Description: SSU rRNA
Rfam family: Eukaryotic small subunit ribosomal RNA
Source: RNAcentral
AGGGCACCACCAGGAGUGGAGCCUGCGGCUUAAUUUGACUCAACACGGGGAAACUCACCCGGCCCGGACACCGUAAGGAUUGACAGAUUGAUAGCUUUUUCAUGAUUCGGUGGAUGGUGGUGCAUGGCCGUUCUUAGUUCGUGGAGCGAUUUGUCUGGUUUAUUCCGAUAACGAGCGAGACUCUAGCCUACUAAAUAGUUCGCACAUUGUCUCUGUGUGUGUGACUUCUUAGAGGGAUUUUCGGUGUUCAGCCGCACGAAAUUGAGCAAUAACAGGUCUGUGAUGCCCUUAGGUGUCCGGGGCUGCACGCGCGCUACACUGGCAAAAUCAGCGUGCUUGUCCUUCCCCGAAAGGGGUUGGUAAACCCUUGAAAAUUUGCCGUGAUUGGGAUUGGAAAUUGCAAUUAUUUUCCAUGAACGAGGAAUUCCAAGUAAGUGCGAGUCAUCAGCUCGCGUUGAUUACGUCCCUGCCCUUUGUACACACCGCCCGUCGCUGCCCGGGACUGAGCCAUUUCGAGAA